GGGGUUGUGGCUCAGCGGUAGAGCACUCACCUUGCACGUGAGAGGCCCUGGGUUCGAUUCUCAGCACCACA
Molecule: transfer RNA, 71 nt
Filed under: Marmota monax (woodchuck)
Lineage: Eukaryota; Metazoa; Chordata; Mammalia; Rodentia; Sciuridae
Description: tRNA.Ala
Rfam family: tRNA
About the family: Transfer RNA (tRNA) molecules are approximately 80 nucleotides in length. Their secondary structure includes four short double-helical elements and three loops (D, anti-codon, and T loops). Further hydrogen bonds mediate the characteristic L-shaped molecular structure. tRNAs have two regions of fundamental functional importance: the anti-codon, which is responsible for specific mRNA codon recognition, and the 3' end, to which the tRNAs corresponding amino acid is attached (by aminoacyl-tRNA synthetases). tRNAs cope with the degeneracy of the genetic code in two manners: having more than one tRNA (with a specific anti-codon) for a particular amino acid; and 'wobble' base-pairing, i.e. permitting non-standard base-pairing at the 3rd anti-codon position.
Source: RNAcentral